AUUGAACGCUGGCGGCAGGCCUAACACAUGCAAGUCGAACGGUAACAGGAAGCAGCUUGCUGCUUUGCUGACGAGUGGCGGACGGGUGAGUAAUGUCUGGGAAACUGCCUGAUGGAGGGGGAUAACUACUGGAAACGGUAGCUAAUACCGCAUAACGUCGCAAGACCAAAGAGGGGGACCUUAGGGGCUCUUGCCAUCGGAUGUGCCCAGAUGGGAUUAGCUGGUAGGGGGGGUAACGGCUCACCUAGGCGACGAUCCCUAGCUGGUCUGAGAGGAGGACCAGCCACACUGGAACUGAGACACGGUCCAGACUCCUACGGGAGGCAGCAGUGGGGAAUAUUGCACAAUGGGCGCAAGCCUGAUGCAGCCAUGCCGCGUGUAUGAAGAAGGCCUUCGGGUUGUAAAGUACUUUCAGCGGGGAGGAAGGGAGUAAAGUUAAUACCUUUGCUCAUUGACGUUACCCGCAGAAGAAGCACCGGCUAACUCCGUG
Molecule: ribosomal RNA, 490 nt
Filed under: uncultured bacterium
Lineage: Bacteria
Description: partial 16S ribosomal RNA
Rfam family: Bacterial small subunit ribosomal RNA
Source: RNAcentral